Molecule: long non-coding RNA, 2622 nt
Filed under: Melopsittacus undulatus (budgerigar)
Lineage: Eukaryota; Metazoa; Chordata; Aves; Psittaciformes; Psittaculidae
Description: lncRNA (ENSMUNG00000018421.1)
Source: RNAcentral
AUGAUAGAGCAAAUUCAAUGAGGAAAUUGUUCUAGGAGGAUAUGAAAUCUCUUCAUUUAGGUAGUACAUCAGAGAUGUGACUGCAGCCUCAAGAGGAUUUCUAGCUGAGCUGUGAGUGUAAAGGCUAGAGGCAGUAGUCAUUGGUUUCUAUGUGUGGAAUUUAUCUAGAAAGACUUCAGAGAUUGCAACAUACAUUUAAGGGACAUUUUAAAGUUAAACAGCAAUGUUCUUGCAUGUCCCAGGUUUCUGCAAAUCUCCAGCACAUGGAGGGAUACCUAGAAAAGAGAGACCAGCUCCUUCCAGGAAGACAACAGCCAAGUUCAAGGUCUUGGAAAUCCUUCUACGUAAAACUUGAUGGAUUAAAGCUUGUUUUCUAUAAUGAUGAAAAAGAAGCAUCUGAGGUAAUUUGGGUUUUGAAUCUUUUCUAGUAAUCUCUGCAUUUAUCUACGUAAAAAUGUAUUUAAAAGAAAAUAGAGGUACAUUUGCUUUGGUUUGGGUCUGGGGUAAUCAGUUCUUUUUCAAAUGUCAGCUGAGUGAAAAUUCAACAAUUGUUCAACUGCCACCAACUCUAAGACAGAAUAAUAAGCUCUCCGAAAUUUUCAGGUAUAUUCCUUGAAAGAAAUAUCUUAUUCAGGAAUUGCCUUCAAGAUACAAUGCAGUGUUCUUCUGUGCUUCUUCCUGUUCUGUGAUCUUAGUUAUAAAGUUAGAAGCAGAACACAGUGUGUGUGUGUAGUCAGCCUGCAGGUUAGUAUGAAUUUGAAUCCUGGCAGAAAAGUUGCAGAAGACAUUUUGUUCUAAUUUUAUCCUCCUUCAGAAUGUACCCACAGUCCUGUCCCUCGGCAUUCCUGGUGCCAAAUGUGAGAGGCUGAUAAAUUACAUCAGAAAAGAGAACACCUUCAUGUUGCGGCUGAGAGAUGGGGCAGAGUAUUUCUUCGCAGCACCUUCUCGGACACUGAUGGAGGACUGGCUGCAAUCACUACAGAAUAAUAUAGGACACAGUAACAAGUCACAUCCCACAGCAACGGUGCAGCGUUUUGCUCCAAACACAGAGACCUCUCAGACAAGGCUGUGGGACUUUCCAGACAGAGACUCUGCUGAAAGAGUAAACAGCAAAAGCUCACUCAUAAGGAGAACACCUUCCUUCAAAAUCAAACCAGAGAGAGAGUCUGCAGCCUUUUCCAGAGAUUAUAAGGAAGAUGGGACUGGAGUGACACGAGCCUCUAUCACCACCCUAAGCCUAGAACAAGGUGGUGAUAAAACAAGACUGCUUCCAUCUGUACUAGAAGCAGGAAGAGAAAAAUGACAUUUGCCUCAGUGAAUGCCAGACCCUUCACCAUUGUAUCUUAACCCAGCCCUCUGGAAAUGUACUGAUAUGUUUUAAGUUAAUCACUACAUUUGGAACUCAUUUUAAUUAUCUAUUAAAUCUAGUAAAGCCACUAAAUGUAAUUAAACAGGACUGCAUCCGGUAUCCUUUUGUGUGUACAAUGAUUCUAUCAUUUUUCAUAUCACCCAAGUGAUACCUACUCUAAGUUACCCAGUGGAAGAGUAGAGGGGCCUUUAAGCCAGACAGCUCAAGUUAAUUGACUCUGCAAGACAGAAAUGGGGAGCACUGAGCAGAGCACGAGAUGCAAGGUGUGAAUGAAGAGCAGCCACCUGCAAGUAGCUUUGCAGAUAACAACAGGUAAGAUUUAAGAGGGUUGGAUGGUCUGGACAGAAGCAGAAGUCUCAAAGGGAACAUUGGUUAUAUAAUUCCUGAAGAGUUUCGUGCUCUCCACAGUUUUUCAGUUUUACAUUAACCAACAAUUCCCUAUUUGCCAAUUCUUUCUGGAUGAGGUUACCAGGAAAAAAAAGCCUGUGGUGUUACUUAUUUUUCAUGGAAUCUGAAACUAAAACAAUGUGUACAAUCAGCUUUUCAGUGUAAAACGAGAGAAAAAGUAGGAUAACAAGAAGGAAGUCUAGUAUCCAGACCAGUCCAUUACAUCUAUUUUUCUCCACAUGACCACAUACCCAGUCAUUUCACCCCCUAGUGAACUUCUACAUCAUUGAUAUUUACAUGGUUGAAGAGCAAAGAAUAGCUAAAUGAACUUUAGCAGUUCCUGCAACAUCACAAGUCUGGGCUAUGGAUGAGGAGCAAAGGGUCCAGGAGAAAAGGUCUUUCUAGCUGCCUGGUGCUCCUGUCACAUUGACAGUCUCCUGUCACUAAUAGGCUUUGAUUCCUUUCCAUAUGUCGAAUAAGAAAACUGAAUCGAAGUAAUGAAGACCACUCUGCAACUUUGUACUGUGAGGGUCCCCUUUCAUUUUCCUGUUAGCUAGGCUGUUAGCCUCCAGGCUACCUCAGCCCAGCUUCUAGCCGUCAAAGCAGGGAUAAGGAACUGGAACAAAUCAGGAUGAAAACUUGGGCAAUAACACUAUGACAUUGCUAAAUCAAGUGGAUGGGUUUGUUGAACUGAAUCUUUUCCUACAGAAGGCAGACAGGACCUUUUUGACAGACAGACAUGUGCACACCCAUACACAUGCCUGCACAUGCAUGUACUUGUGUGAGGAGACACCCAUGUUCCAAAUUCGUCAUCCCACCAGCGAUCCUGUAUUAGUUGUACUUUUUCAGUAGCUAAGACUGAGGGC